Molecule: long non-coding RNA, 1401 nt
Filed under: Toxoplasma gondii VEG
Lineage: Eukaryota; Apicomplexa; Conoidasida; Eucoccidiorida; Sarcocystidae
Source: RNAcentral
UAUACAUAUCUAUGUAUAUGCGUGUAUAAGUGUGUAUUUUUUAUGCUUGGAAAUACGAGACUUACGCGAAGGCGGAAAAGACUGUCUUUGCAGAGGAAGAAGUCCUCGGCGCCUCCAGGCAGCAAUAAGUCGACUGUCAGGAACGUCUUGGGUAUCAAGAAAACCAGAGGAAAAAGAGACGAAGACAGAUAAACGUUGUCGCAGAGUGCCCUGACUGUGGAGGCCGGAAGAAAUGGAGACGGUGCAGAGAGCAAGAAGGACGACAGCGAGUGGAGAAACGAAAAAAACGAAGGCUGAGGAAAGCGACGCAAGAAGACUAGGCUAAUGGUUACUGCGACAUGGUAACACGAACAGCGGGAAGUGAGCCGGCAAAGAUCUCGGGUGCAUCUUCAUCAGGGAAUUCUCGUGCAUGCAAUUCGGUGCAGAUGCUUUUCCAAAGCCUCCUCCUCCUUUCUCUAACGUGGUACAUCUUCAGUUAGAAACCAUUGCUCAGAACUCUUGAAAAUACCUUUUGCUGCCUCUCCAUGUCUGUAUUUGUACAACAUGCACAAUUUUCUAUAUUCAUAUGAAAGGAUUGAUCAUGUACUUUGAGGAGACGUUUGAGCGUGACGAAUUUCUUCUCCAUCUUGAAGGACGUCAAAGUCGUUGUAUGUCAAACACUGAUUUUCUCUUCCGUAAAAAAAAACUUUUCUUCGAACAGGAAAGACAGUCGGGUGGCAUUUACACACACGCGUAAGUGCAUUGUCUUGUACACAUAUACAUCUGUCGCCAUGUAUAGAUAUUUACAUAUAUAAAUACGUACAUAUAUAUAUAUAUGUAUAUGCAUAUGCAUGUAUAUCCAUGUACAUGUACAUGUAUAUAUAUAUAUAUAUAUAUAUAUAUGGGGUAGAAUAUGCAGAUGUAUAUUUUUUUUGAUAGUGGAUGCAUGCUUUUUGUUAUUUAGAGCUUCGGUGUGCGUGUAGAGACAAUUACAACGAAUUGCGUUUAUGGACGCAGUUCGCCUCGCGAUGAAAACGUACCCUGGCCGACAUCAGCGUUGACAUCGACAGCGAAAAAGUCGACGUCUUUGCAGAGAAGAAGAUGGAAAGCUCGUCGAGAUGCAAAGACGGGGAAGGGAACAGCGUGGAGGCUCGACAGAAGUAAAACUACCUAUAAUGAGGAACGAAAGCCGUAUCUAACCCUAGUAUCAUGCAAUAUGCAAGCACCCACUGUUCCGGCAGGACGUAAUACUUCGCUGUGGUGUUGAAAAGCACAGGAAAUACUCCACGAAAAAGAAGUUGACGAAAGAAGAGCAAUUCACAAGACGGUGUCACAAGAAGGUAAACCAAUCAGAAACACUUUCGCCAGUACCUUGCAGUAGUUCCCUUCUUCUCUUUGGGAUUUUCCAUGCUUCUUCCGUAU